RNAcentral lists this ribosomal RNA (448 nucleotides) under uncultured bacterium. RNAcentral's name for it is "bacterial SSU rRNA". It matches the Rfam family "Bacterial small subunit ribosomal RNA", at positions 29 to 526 of the family's 1533-position model. The record is from RNAcentral.
AACGAACGCUGGCGGCAGGCCUAACACAUGCAAGUCGAGCGCCCCGCAAGGGGAGCGGCGGACGGGUGAGUAACGCGUGGGAACGUACCCUUUGCUACGGAAUAGCCUUGGGAAACUGGGAGUAAUACCGUAUGUGCCCUUCGGGGGAAGAUUUAUCGGCAAAGGAUCGGCCCGCGUUGGAUUAGGUAGUUGGUGGGGUAAUGGCCUACCAAGCCGACGAUCCAUAGCUGGUUUGAGAGGAUGAUCAGCCACACUGGGACUGAGACACGGCCCAGACUCCUACGGGAGGCAGCAGUGGGGAAUCUUAGACAAUGGGCGCAAGCCUGAUCUAGCCAUGCCGCGUGAGCGAUGAAGGCUUUAGGGUUGUAAAGCUCUUUCAGUGGGGAAGAUAAUGACUGUACCCACAGAAGAAGCCCGGCUAACUCCGUGCCAGCAGCCGCGGUAAAGU